This 337-nucleotide long non-coding RNA is filed under the name Daucus carota (carrot). Its description in RNAcentral is "long non-coding RNA (DCAR_LNC005675)". The record is from RNAcentral. Lineage: Eukaryota; Viridiplantae; Streptophyta; Magnoliopsida; Apiales; Apiaceae.
GAGUAACUCCUCGAUCUCCUCUUUAAGGUGUCUACAGUCCGCGGUGUUGUGUCCAGCUGAUUCGUGGAAGUCACAGUACUUCUUCUUGUCUUUGGCAACAUUAUAGGGAAUAGGCUGCGGCUUCCGAAAAGGGGCCUUAUCUUUGCUUACCGCAUAGAUGUGCUCGGCUGACGCCACGAGAGGGGUGUACGUGCCUGGUUGUCUCGGGGGGCUCCAGUUCCUUCUAUCGCUAGCCAUGUGUACCCUUGCUGGGGAACGUCCACGCCCUUUUGGUUCCGGGCUAGGUGUGUGUUCCUUUCUCUUACCCCGUGACUUAGCGAUUUCUUUCUGAUUUUCG